RNAcentral lists this ribosomal RNA (465 nucleotides) under uncultured Klebsiella sp. RNAcentral's name for it is "bacterial SSU rRNA". It matches the Rfam family "Bacterial small subunit ribosomal RNA", at positions 338 to 795 of the family's 1533-position model. The record is from RNAcentral. Lineage: Bacteria; Pseudomonadati; Pseudomonadota; Gammaproteobacteria; Enterobacterales; Enterobacteriaceae.
CCUACGGGUGGCUGCAGUGGGGAAUAUUGCACAAUGGGCGCAAGCCUGAUGCAGCCAUGCCGCGUGUGUGAAGAAGGCCUUCGGGUUGCAAAGCACUUUCAGCGGGGAGGAAGGCGGUGAGGUUAAUAACCUCAUCGAUUGACGUUACCCGCAGAAGAAGCACCGGCUAACUCCGUGCCAGCAGCCGCGGUAAUACGGAGGGUGCAAGCGUUAAUCGGAAUUACUGGGCGUAAAGCGCACGCAGGCGGUCUGUCAAGUCGGAUGUGAAAUCCCCGGGCUCAACCUGGGAACUGCAUUCGAAACUGGCAGGCUAGAGUCUUGUAGAGGGGGGUAGAAUUCCAGGUGUAGCGGUGAAAUGCGUAGAGAUCUGGAGGAAUACCGGUGGCGAAGGCGGCCCCCUGGACAAAGACUGACGCUCAGGUGCGAAAGCGUGGGGAGCAAACAGGAGUAGAUACCCGAGUAGUC